Molecule: long non-coding RNA, 344 nt
Filed under: Ananas comosus (pineapple)
Lineage: Eukaryota; Viridiplantae; Streptophyta; Magnoliopsida; Poales; Bromeliaceae
Description: long non-coding RNA (ACOM_LNC011082)
Source: RNAcentral
AGUGGGUCCAGAAGAAGAGGGUGUUUGGACUAGCUUUUAAAAGGCGGAGGAUGUUUAGACUAGCUUUUAAAAAGCACUUUUGAGUUGAAAAGUGAUUUCGAUUUAAUAGAGCAUUUGACAACUUACUUUUAAAAUCUGAUUCUGCUUUUUAGAAUCAGAAACUGAUUUUGAAGGCUCCAGAAUCAGAAACAGAAAAAAACUGCUUUUUGAAAUCUGAUUCUGAUUUUGGAUUUCAACUUCAAAUUUUUAUUUUUAUUUUAAUUUCAAUAUUUAAAUUUAAAUUUAAUUUUAAAUUUUAAUUUUCAGAUUCAUUUUUGAAUUUUUAAAUUUUAACUUUUAAAUUU